GUCUACAGCCAUGCCACCCUGAACAAGCCCGAUCCCGUCUGAUCUCAGAAGCUAAGCAGAGUCGGGCCUGGUUAGUACUUGGAUGGGAGACCACCUAGGAAGACCAGGUGCUGUAGGCG
Molecule: ribosomal RNA, 119 nt
Filed under: Pteropus alecto (black flying fox)
Lineage: Eukaryota; Metazoa; Chordata; Mammalia; Chiroptera; Pteropodidae
Source: RNAcentral